UGGGGCUGCCGGACCGUGAGGCUGUGAGCCGCGCGGACGGAGCCGGGCAAGAGCGGGCGGUGGCGGCAGGAUGAACAGCAUCAAGAACGUGCCGGCGCGGGUGCUGAGCCGCAGGCCGGGCCAUAGCCUGGAGGCCGAGCGCGAGCAGUUCGACAAGACCCAGGCCAUCAGCAUCAGCAAAGCCAUCAACACCCAGGAGGCCCCCGUGAAGGAGAAGCACGCCCGGCGCAUCAUUCUGGGCACACACCACGAGAAGGGGGCUUUCACCUUCUGGUCCUACGCCAUUGGACUGCCGCUGCCCAGCAGCUCCAUUCUCAGCUGGAAGUUCUGCCAUGUCCUCCACAAGGUCCUUCGAGACGGGCACCCCAAUGUGCUGCAUGACUGCCAGCGGUACCGCAGCAACAUCCGGGAGAUCGGAGACCUGUGGGGACAUUUGCAUGACCGCUACGGACAGCUGGUGAAUGUCUACACCAAGCUGCUGCUGACCAAGAUCUCCUUCCACCUCAAGCAUCCCCAGUUUCCUGCAGGCCUGGAGGUGACAGACGAGGUACUGGAGAAGGCAGCUGGGACUGAUGUCAACAACAUCUUCCAGCUCACUGUGGAGAUGUUUGAUUACAUGGAUUGUGAGCUGAAGCUUUCUGAAUCAGUUUUCCGACAGCUCAACACGGCCAUCGCCGUAUCCCAGAUGUCCUCAGGCCAGUGCCGCCUGGCCCCGCUCAUCCAGGUCAUCCAGGACUGCAGCCACCUCUACCACUACACGGUCAAGCUCCUGUUCAAGCUACACUCUUGUCUCCCUGCGGACACCCUGCAAGGCCACAGGGACCGGUUCCACGAGCAGUUUCACAGCCUCAGGAACUUCUUCCGCAGAGCCUCUGACAUGCUGUAUUUCAAGCGGCUCAUCCAGAUCCCCCGGCUGCCCGAGGGACCCCCUAACUUCCUGCGGGCCUCAGCCCUGGCUGAGCACAUCAAGCCGGUGGUGGUGAUCCCCGAGGAGGCCCCGGAGGACGAGGAACCGGAGAAUCUCAUUGAGAUCAGCACGGGGCCCCCCGCGGGGGAGCCAGUGGUGGUGGCUGACCUGUUCGAUCAGACGUUUGGACCCCCCAAUGGCUCUGUGAAGGAUGACAGGGACCUCCAGAUUGAGAGCUUGAAGAGAGAGGUGGAAAUGCUCCGCUCUGAGCUGGAGAAGAUCAAGCUGGAGGCCCAGCGGUACAUCUCGCAGCUGAAGAGUCAGGUGAAUGCACUGGAGGGUGAGCUGGAGGAGCAGCGGAAGCAGAAGCAGAAGGCCCUGGUGGAUAAUGAGCAGCUCCGCCACGAGCUGGCCCAGCUGAGGGCUGCCCAGCUGGAGGGCGAGCGGAGCCAGGGCCUGCGUGAGGAGGCUGAGAGGAAGGCCAGUGCCACGGAGGCGCGCUACAACAAGCUGAAGGAAAAGCACAGUGAGCUCGUCCAUGUGCACGCAGAGCUGCUUAGAAAGAACGCGGACACAGCCAAGCAGCUGACGGUGACGCAGCAAAGCCAGGAGGAGGUGGCGCGGGUGAAGGAGCAGCUGGCCUUCCAGGUGGAGCAGGUGAAGCGGGAGUCAGAGUUGAAGGUAUGUCCCUUGUGGCACAGGGCCCUGCCCCGGCAUCCCCAGCCCACUGCCCCAGUGACACGCUGUCCUGUCUCAGCUGGAGGAGCAGAGUGACCAGCUGGAGAAGCUCAAGAGGGAGCUGGAGGCCAAGGCCGGAGAGCUGGCCCGCGCGCAGGAGGCCCUGAGCCACACAGAGCAGAGCAAGUCGGAGCUGAGCUCACGGCUGGACAUGCUGAGUGCGGAGAAGGAUGCGCUGAGUGGAGCUGUGCGGCAGCGGGAGGCAGACCUGCUGGCAGCGCAGAGCCUGGUGCGCGAGACAGAGGCGGCGCUGAGCCGGGAGCAGCAGCGCAGCUCCCAGGAGCAGAGCGAGUUGCAGGGCCGGCUGGCAGAGAGGGUAUGGCCUCCCCAGAUGCAGCAGCACUGCUGAGUUCACUGCCGCCUGGCAGCCAUCGAUCUCUCUCCGUGAUCUGCCUGUUCUAGAGAUUUCACGUAAAGGGCAUCAUACACGAUGCAUCCUUUUGUGUCCGGCUUCUUCACUGAGCAUCACGUUGUCAAGGGUCACC
RNAcentral lists this small RNA (2130 nucleotides) under Pongo abelii (Sumatran orangutan). RNAcentral's name for it is "retained intron". Lineage: Eukaryota; Metazoa; Chordata; Mammalia; Primates; Hominidae. The record is from RNAcentral.